This 67-nucleotide transfer RNA is filed under the name Tolypeutes tricinctus. Its description in RNAcentral is "tRNA-Tyr". It matches the Rfam family "tRNA". From Rfam's summary of the family: Transfer RNA (tRNA) molecules are approximately 80 nucleotides in length. Their secondary structure includes four short double-helical elements and three loops (D, anti-codon, and T loops). Further hydrogen bonds mediate the characteristic L-shaped molecular structure. tRNAs have two regions of fundamental functional importance: the anti-codon, which is responsible for specific mRNA codon recognition, and the 3' end, to which the tRNAs corresponding amino acid is attached (by aminoacyl-tRNA synthetases). tRNAs cope with the degeneracy of the genetic code in two manners: having more than one tRNA (with a specific anti-codon) for a particular amino acid; and 'wobble' base-pairing, i.e. permitting non-standard base-pairing at the 3rd anti-codon position. Lineage: Eukaryota; Metazoa; Chordata; Mammalia; Cingulata; Chlamyphoridae. The record is from RNAcentral.
GGUAAAAUGGCUGAGUAAGCAUUAGACUGUAAAUCUAAAGACAAGGGUUGAGUCCCCUUUUUUGCCA